Molecule: long non-coding RNA, 1512 nt
Filed under: Coturnix japonica (Japanese quail)
Lineage: Eukaryota; Metazoa; Chordata; Aves; Galliformes; Phasianidae
Description: lncRNA (ENSCJPG00005005434.1)
Source: RNAcentral
UUAUUACAUUGAAAAAUAACGAUUAAUAGCUGAGAAUCUGGUCUAUCAAACGUUAUUGUGCUCUUGUUCCAACCUGAAUUCUGUGAUUCUACAAUCAGAAAAAAAUUUUGCUUCCAAUUUGGUGUGAAAUCCCAGGAGGCUGAAACUAGGGAAAGUUCUUAUUUGGCACGGUGAGUAUAUCCACACUGUUUUAAUAUGUGUACGGCCAUACGUUGUUCUGUCUCAAAAGGAGCUGGAUGCCCAGUGUAAUUAAUCCUAGAUAGGACUCAGAGCACUUUGCUUUAGUGAUGCCUUGAUUUUUCUUAUUGCUCCGUCUCUGUUCCUGAUGCUGUUUCAUAGUGUGUCAUAAUCAAGGGCGGAAAGUAGCCAUGGUUACCUGCAAUAGUGCUGGUGAUUGCAACCAACACUCAAGAGCUUCAAGGGUACUUAGCAAGUAUGCCAGACCUAGAAGAUCAGUGUACCACAAUGAGAGAGAUGGAUAAUUGCACAAGAGGGUAUAAGAGACAGAAGACUUCAGUGACAGAAUUUAGGUUUAUAACAGUGGCACUCGGAUGAAGCACACACUAAGGAAUAUAUAAUCAACAGUCAAGGAGAGCGCUCCGUCAGAAGGCUUGAACGAGUCCUUUUCUUUUAUAAACUGUAUCUUUUAAGCAUAUACUAAUAUGGUGGCCUGUUCUUGGAGGUUUGGGUCAAAAAGAAAAAAAAGACAUUCUGUGAUUCUGUGAUGACUGAAAGUUUUGGAAUUAAGUGAGCUGUUAUCUUUAGGCUUUUUCAUAUAUCUUUGCCAUUAUCACUAUCCAUGCACAGUUAAGACUUUGCUGGAGACAGUUUAGGCUAGUUCAGUAAACCUAGCUGAUAACAAUAACAUGCAGUAUAUGUAGUCCUGUGCAUGGUAGAUUCAUGGCAAAGCAGUUGACUUACCACCUUGUCCUUCUUCAGAAGGUUGUCCUUACAGGUCUAUUUAGAUUCAGAUCCUGAAAUCAUCAUUAUUUCCCUUUUUAAAGUUACUGCCAGGAUACUCACGUGAUGCGGUGGUGUGUCUGGACCUAUCUGAGGUGCAAUUAGUAACAUUUCUUUAAACCCCAUUACAACCAUAAAACCUUCCUAGAAGAUUGCAUUUAGCUCAUCACCUUCUAAUGGAUGUCUUAUCCUGCCCCUGAAGCAAGGAAAGCGCACAUACUGUUUUGAAAUACAAGCUUUGCUGUGCUCCUAGGCAUCAAACAUUAACACCAAAUGUUUGCAAUUAGACUGCCUAUUGUAGAAACUUGAGAGUUCUUUAAAUAUAGAGCAGCAAAUUGCUCUGAGAAGAUGGUAAGCAUUAUGCUCCAUAGGAGAGAUCCUAUUUUCAGUGUCGUACUAACUUAAUUUUGUUUUACAGAUGCUAUGCAGGAAGAAAUGAUGCUGGGUUUCAGUGGAGUUCUGGGCAUUUGCUAUUUGGUGUAUGUCACAGUUUUCUUUCUUGCAAUUGCUGCUUCCUUUUUUCAUAACACAUCUAACUAAGUCCUUUAACUA